GGAGUCGGUGAGGUUAGAGCGGCUCGGCGACUCCGAUUCCGGUGAUCGAAUCAUAAAUGCCCCUGUUCUUGGAUCUUGUUUGGCGAUCUUUCACUAAUAGUUUCUGGGAACCGGGGCAGGGAUCGUGGAGCUGAAGCUGGGCCGGCCGGAGGCGAAGAACUCGAUCGGGAAGGAGAUGCUGCGAUGACUGCGGUUCGGUUCCCAGGGUUUUCUUCGCCGGGACGGAUCUCAAGGCACUCUCUGUUCCAACAAUUGCGGUCAUUGAAGGAGCAGCACCUGGUGGUGGCCUAGAAUUGGCUCUUUCAUGUGAUCUUCGUGUGUGUGUGUGUGUGGAGAAGAUUCAACAUUUAGCUUGCUAGAGACUGGACUUGCCAUAAUUCCUGGGUAUGUGUUCAAGCUGGUCAUUGGGCAUAUCAUGCUUUCCGCUGAAUUUUCGACACAAACAGAGCUGGUGGCACCCGAUGACGACGAUCAGCAGCAAAGGAGCUAAUAUUCACGGGUCGAAGGAUUAACGGCAAAGAAGCUCUGUCCAUGGGACUUAUCAAUCACUGUGUUCCUUCUGGAGAUGCGUACCACAAGGCUCUUCGUGUUGCCUGCGUACCACAAUUCUUACGAACAGCCAAGAGGAUUAAACUAAUGCUUCAACGAAGUAUCAUGACAAGAAGAAUUUUUACACAAUUACCUUCCCCAUUCAGUACUCUUUUUUUAUCUUUGGAUGGAUUCUAACCAGGGCCUAUCUUUGAAAGGGUCCUUUGGCUACAAGGAUGGCUUAGCAAGCUAUCAACAACGGCAUGGAAGGAGGAGCUACGUCCUCGGCAGUGGGUGGGGAAGAAGAAUGUUAUGGGCGACUACUGAACACAGCAGACCGUCUUGAAGGACUGGCUGCAUUCACAGAGGAGAAGCGAAAACCCAAAUACCUUGGCAAAUAGAAUCACACAAUCUAGUUCUUGUUCGGCUGCUUGUUGUAACUUAAAUCAGCAUAAAGAUACAAAGGUGUUCGAACCAUAUAAUUUUUAUUCUUUUUAUAAGUAUCAUUUGGACAUAACAGAGUCUUACGUUAACUGGUAAUUGAGACCAUGGAAGAAA
Non-coding RNA from Musa acuminata subsp. malaccensis (wild Malaysian banana), 1086 nucleotides. NCBI's taxonomy places the organism in Eukaryota, Viridiplantae, Streptophyta, Magnoliopsida, Zingiberales, Musaceae. The record is from RefSeq and is a predicted model, not a curated record.